This 72-nucleotide transfer RNA is filed under the name Bos taurus (domestic cattle). It matches the Rfam family "tRNA". Rfam says of the family: Transfer RNA (tRNA) molecules are approximately 80 nucleotides in length. Their secondary structure includes four short double-helical elements and three loops (D, anti-codon, and T loops). The record is from Rfam by way of RNAcentral. RNAcentral also lists the same sequence under 5 other names. Lineage: Eukaryota; Metazoa; Chordata; Mammalia; Artiodactyla; Bovidae.
UCUCUGGUGACUCAGACGGUAAAGCGUCUGCCUGCAGUGCAGGAGACCCAGGUUCGAUUCCUGGGUUGGGAA